GAAAUAUUGGGAAAAUUGCAUAAGGCAAGCAGCAUACUUGAGUGCGCCAGAUAUGCUUGUCCAUUUCAAUUUAUAAUAAAUCAUUUGCCAGGAAAUUCUCACAAAUCCAUUUAAAGUUUUGAAAUAUACCAAUAAUGAGGAUGUCAACAAUAAGUCCAAAAGAUGGAAGUUCAAAACUUAGUAACCAGAAAACCAUCACUUCAUAAACCAUUAACAUUGGGAUUGAUGUAACGUUAAGUUCUUAAAGAACUUUGUCCACACCCCCAAUCUGUUGUUCUGCCAGCAAAUGGCAGAAUGACAUAGAAAUAUACUAUAAUAAGUUGAAAUGGGAUUGUUAUUCCAUACAUCCAUUGCAAAUGACAUAUCAAUUUGCCCAGCAAAUCAAUCCACCAGACAACAAGACACAACUCAAAUAGAACAUAUCCAUAAGUUUUGAAUUGUUUCAGUCAACUCCACAGCCUCCCUUCUACUUCAUUAUCAAGCAAAUAGCAUGGAGACACCCAUACACUUGUAAUGUCACUCGGAAGCAGUAGCAACCUGGCAAAUGGCAGCGUCCCCAAAAUUGUAACCCAAGACCUCAGCGUUAUGAGAUACUUAAGUAGAAUCCUGGUACCAAUUAUCCCUAAUUUUAGAUUAUAGCUGAUUAGCUGGUGACUAUCAUGAGCACUAGAAUUAUAUGGACUCCAAGGCAUAUCCUUCUAUAGGAAAUUUAUAUUACAUAUUUCUUUCUUAUUUGAAGGAGUUCCAACAAAAAAUUUCUAUACGGUUUCGAUAUGUACUAUAAUACACCUAGAUCAGGUCACGUUCUGUCUUUUAAAUCAUAAUAGAAAGACAAUUAAAAAAAUUUCCAUNGAAAGCUCGACCAAAAAAAUUAGACUCGACCCAAACUUUCAACUCGAGUCAAAAGCUCGAUUUUUUUUUCUUUUUUUUAAACAUAGGCAGCAGCGUGCUGCCUUAUUUCAGUAAAUAAGGCAGCAACCUUAUUUGAGGCAGCAGGUUGUUGCCUUUAAUUAAUUUUUAUUAUUAUUAUAUAUAAAGGCCGAUUCGGGCUUUUUCCAGGCCGAACCACAUGUAGUUCGAGCCAGCGAGCCCCAUUGCCAUCCCUACAAUGUAGUUGCUGAAUAAUAGUUCUCCCAUAUACUUGGAGACUCUUUCACCUAGGAAAAUUAAAAAAUAUAAAUUAAAUUGCUACCGAAACAAUAAGAUGACAAAAUGGUAGAAAAAAAUGAUUAAUUUAUUGAAUAAUUGCAUCACAGAAGAUAAGAGUUACGGCAUCUUUUUUGCACAAAUAUGGAGCAUUCUGCAUCAGGUGUAGAGCGUAGGGCAAAAUAAUAAUGGUUUAAAUUUGGAAAGCAAAUUGACUACAUAAAUAAAUCACGUGAAAGCUAUCGAUACCUCGCAUAUUUCCUAUUUUCAUCUUCUCACAUUCAUUAAGACAAGCAUAUGAAAUAAUAUUCGGUCAAAGUUCCUCUAUGUUUAAGACGACGUCAUUUGAAUGAACAUAUAUCUACUAUAUUUAUGUACCUUAAUAACCUUGCUUUUAAUUAUCACAAACUUUAAAAAUUUCCAAACCACCAACAAAUGAACUGUGCUUGUGAUGUAAUGAACAACAUAGCACGAUUAUACCUUGUAAAUUAGUAAUUGUACUGAAAAUUAAACUUAUAUCUAACCAAAGAUGAGAACAUAGAAAAGUCAAUGCAGAUGAUGAAUGCAAGAGAGUUAUGUUCAAUGGUACUUCAGGAAAUAUUGGGAAAAUUGCAUAAGGCAAGCAGCAUACUUGAGUGCGCCAGAUAUGCUUGUCCAUUUCAAUUUAUAAUAAAUCAUUUGCCAGGAAAUUCUCACAAAUCCAUUUAAAGUUUUGAAAUAUACCAAUAAUGAGGAUGUCAACAAUAAGUCCAAAAGAUGGAAGUUCAAAACUUAGUAACCAGAAAACCAUCACUACCUUGUUCGAAACCAUUAACAUUGGGAUUGAUGUAACGUUAAGUUCUUAAAGAACUUUGUCCACACCCUCAAUCUGUUGUUCUGCCAGCAAAUGGCAGAAUGACAUAGAAAUAUACUAUAAUAAGUUGAAACGGGAUUGUUAUUCCAUACAUCCAUUGCAAAUGACAUAUCAAUUUGCCCAGCAAAUCAAACCACCAGACAACAAGACACAACUCAAAUAGAACAUAUCCAUAAGUUUUGAAUUGUUUCAGUCAACUCCACAGCCUCCCUUCUACUUCAUUAUCAAGCAAAUAGCAUGGAGACCCCAUACACUUGUAAUGUCACUUGGAAGCAGUAGCAACCAGGCAAAUGGCAAUGUCCCCAAAAUUGUAACCCAAGACCUCAGCGUUAUGAGAUAGUUAAGUAGAAUCCUGGUACCAAUUAUCCCUAAUUUUAGAUUAUAGCUGAUUAGCUGGUGACUAUCAUGAGCACUAGAAUGAUAUGGACUCCAAGGCAUAUCCUUCUAUAGGAAAUUUACAUUACAUAUUUCUUUCUUAUUUGAAGGAGUUCCAACAAAAAAUUUCUAUACGGAUUCGAUAUGUACUAUAAUACACCUAGAUCAGGUCACGUUCUGUCUUUUAAAUCAUAAUAGAAAGACAAUUAAAAAAAUUUCCAUAAAAGCAAAUAUAUCAUUUUUCUACAAUCUUCAGUUUCCUUUCUUCAAUUUUUAGUUUAUUGCAAGAAGUAAUCUCAUUAAAUAUAUAACUUUACAAGGCUCUUAGAGCAUAUACAAGAGACUAUUUAUAAA
RNAcentral lists this long non-coding RNA (2728 nucleotides) under Olea europaea subsp. europaea. The record is from RNAcentral. Lineage: Eukaryota; Viridiplantae; Streptophyta; Magnoliopsida; Lamiales; Oleaceae.